AGAGUUUGAUCCUGGCUCAGGAUGAACGCUGGCGGCGUGCUUAACACAUGCAAGUCGAACGGAGUUAUCAUUUUUGAAGCAAUUAGCUUGCUAAGAGUGGAAAUGUUGAUAACUUAGUGGCGGACGGGUGAGUAACGCGUGGGUAACCUGCCAUAUACAGGGGGAUAACACUUAGAAAUAGGUGCUAAUACCGCAUAAGCGCACAGUACUGCAUGGUACAGUGUGAAAAACUCCGGUGGUAUAUGAUGGACCCGCGUCUGAUUAGCUGGUUGGCGGGGUAACGGCCCACCAAGGCGACGAUCAGUAGCCGGCCUGAGAGGGUGAACGGCCACAUUGGGACUGAGACACGGCCCAAACUCCUACGGGAGGCAGCAGUGGGGGAUAUUGGACAAUGGGGGGAACCCUGAUCCAGCGACGCCGCGUGAGUGAAGAAGUAUUUCGGUAUGUAAAGCUCUAUCAGCAGGGAAGAAAGAAAUGGCGGUACCUGAGUAAGAAGCCCCGGCUAACUACGUGCCAGCAGCCGCGGUAAUACGUAGGGGGCAAGCGUUAUCCGGAAUUACUGGGUGUAAAGGGAGCGAAGACGGUAAAGCAAGUCUGGAGUGAAAGGCUGGGGCCCAACCCCGGGACUGCUCUGGAAACUGUUAAACUGGAGUGCAGGAGAGGCAGGCGGAAUUCCUAG
This 679-nucleotide ribosomal RNA is filed under the name uncultured bacterium. Its description in RNAcentral is "bacterial SSU rRNA". It matches the Rfam family "Bacterial small subunit ribosomal RNA", at positions 8 to 673 of the family's 1533-position model. The record is from RNAcentral.